CGAGACGAACGCUGGCGGCGUGCCUAAUACAUGCAAGUCGAACGGUCUUUCUAUGGAAGCUGCUCACUGAGAAGAUAGUGGCGAACGGGUGAGUAACACGUGGGUAACCUGCCCAUAAGAGGGGGAUAACAUCCGGAAACGGGUGCUAAUACCGCAUAGUUUUCUUGAUCGCAUGAUUGAGAAAGGAAAGACGGCCUUUGUGCUGUCGCUUAUGGAUGGACCCGCGGCGUAUUAGUUAGUUGGUGAGGUAACGGCUCACCAAGACGACGAUCGGUAGCCGGCCUGAGAGGGUGAACGGCCACAUUGGGACUGAGACACGGCCCAGACUCCUACGGGAGGCAGCAGUGGGGAAUCUUCCGCAAUGGGCGAAAGCCUGACGGAGCAACGCCCGCGUGAGUGAAGAAGGCCUUCGGGCCGUAAAGCUCUGUUGCCGGGGAAGAGUGCUAUGGGGGAACCUAUAGAGGGACGGUACCCGGCGAGGAAGCCGCGGCUAACUACGUGCCAGCCGCCGC
This 512-nucleotide ribosomal RNA is filed under the name uncultured bacterium. Its description in RNAcentral is "bacterial SSU rRNA". It matches the Rfam family "Bacterial small subunit ribosomal RNA", at positions 28 to 518 of the family's 1533-position model. The record is from RNAcentral.